Long non-coding RNA from Ricinus communis (castor bean), 1431 nucleotides. RefSeq lists it as uncharacterized. The record is from RefSeq and is a predicted model, not a curated record. The transcript is spliced from 2 exons. NCBI's taxonomy places the organism in Eukaryota, Viridiplantae, Streptophyta, Magnoliopsida, Malpighiales, Euphorbiaceae.
UAUAAAGAGAAAUUUGAUAUCUUAUAAUAAAAGGAUCAUAUAAAACUUCUAUAGAAAGGGAUCGCGAUAUUUCAAUAAUGAAAAAACUGUAAAACUCUUAAAACAAUAUGCUAGAAUUUAUUGAUUAUGAAAUAUUAAAAAAAAUAGAUCAUUAACAUCUAAAAAUAAUUAGCGAUGGACUAUAAAAUAAAAUAUAUAAAAAAAUAAAGAAUUAUACUGAUUAUAUGUUACCUGUACUAUUAAACAAUUGUAUAUAUAAAAUUUUAAAUUUAUACUACUUUUGCUUUUUAUAAUUAUAAAAUAUUGAAAUUGAGUUAUAGAAUUCUUUUUGUAGGAGGGGAUUAUAACUCAGUAAGAAAAAGAAAAAGAGAAAUUUCCUUCAUAUCAUAUGCCUGAGAAAUAAAUAGGCAGAAGAUAGCCUCUCACUUGUCGUUUGUUCUUGUGGUGAUUAGAGAAGAUAGUGAAGAUAGAAAAAGAGAAAGGAAGAAAGAACCUUGUGCUCUUCAAGCUGUUCUUCCUUUUCUGAAUUGACGAACGUCAUUAUUCAAUGGGUCAAAUUUUUAUGACAAAUCCAAAUCAAAUAAGGAAAAUUCAAAAAUAAUGAGAACAUAACCCAAAACUCUCAUUUCUUCUAGAAAUUCCUUUUGAACCGCUGACAAAUAUAUACAAGUAAAUUAAGGAAAACAAGAAAGGAAAUUUAGGAACUUUCCCACUUAGAAGCCACGAGGCGGCAUGUUAGAGGUCAGUUCCCAGUCCGAGUCAAUAAGCCGCCAACUGAGUCAAACUUCACGCGCUGCCUUCAAACCUACUCUCUGUUACUCCCUCAAUAUAUAAUUUUCCUUCACUUUCUUGGAAAAUUCAUCUGCUUGCUUGCCUCACCUCAUGCGUGCUUUUGAACACCCAUAUAAAUUAUCCACAAAUCUUUACCCUGCCCACCCAUCAUCGAUCUCUCCAUCUCUUGCAGUAUAAUUCUCGGGUUUCAUUUUAAGUUCAUUCUUUCAGAAUUCUUGAUCUCUCUUAUAUUUUCUUGAAGUCCAUAUAUAUAUACACAUCUUUUGGGUUUCUUGAAGAUGAGUACUCCAAUGAAGUUAUAUGCUCUACCGAUCAUUGGGCUCGUGAUCUUUGCACUCUUCCAGAUUGGUUAUGCACAAACGAUGGCGCCUUCUCCUGCGGCAGAAGGUCCUUCCAGUGAUGGCAACUCAAUUGAUCAAGGAAUUGCUUAUGUUCUUCUACUCGUGGCACUUGCAGUCACAUACCUCUUCCAUUAACGUUUCAGUUUUUCCUUUCUUUGUUAGUAUAUCAUUAUGCUAAAUUCUUUAUGUACUUUUCUCCAUAUAUUGAUUUGGAGAAAUUGCAGCCAUUUUGUAUCUAUUGAAUCACUCUGUACUUAUUAAAAUUUUUUGUUAUGGAAACAGUAAGAUCAUUUCUUGA